RNAcentral lists this unclassified non-coding RNA (176 nucleotides) under Ascomycota sp. RNAcentral describes it as "partial contains small subunit ribosomal RNA, internal transcribed spacer 1, and 5.8S ribosomal RNA". The stretch from base 1 to 47 matches the Rfam family "Eukaryotic small subunit ribosomal RNA", at positions 1785 to 1831 of the family's 1831-position model. Lineage: Eukaryota; Fungi; Ascomycota. The record is from RNAcentral.
AAAGUCGUAACAAGGUUUCCGUAGGUGAACCUGCGGAAGGAUCAUUAAAAAUAGAAUACUAUUUGAUUAGUGAAUUAAGCUAUUGAUUUGUUGGGUAUCGUCCAACGUUAAACUUUUUUAAUUAUGUGCAGGAAAUAAUAGUUGUAAAACUUUUAGCAACGGAUCUCUAGGUUCUC